Carica papaya (papaya) is the source of this 444-nucleotide non-coding RNA. NCBI's taxonomy places the organism in Eukaryota, Viridiplantae, Streptophyta, Magnoliopsida, Brassicales, Caricaceae. The record is from RefSeq and is a predicted model, not a curated record.
UUCAAUUUUCUAAAUAUAAAUACAAUCUCUCCCCUCGCUUCCUUCUCUCUGUACAGGGAGGGGGCUUCACUUUUUCUUCUCCUUAGCAGAAACCUUUCCCCCACUUUACGGACUCGGCGUUUUGCCGGCCAAAACUUUGGUCGGUUUGAGAUGAGUAUGAUGGUAGAUUUUAGUACAGCCUAGACUCUCGAGUCUAGCUGCACGCUUCUUCUCCAACUUCAUUUCCUUCAUAUACUUUUCAUCUGUCUCCCACAAAUGGGCUGUUUUAGUUCUAAAGUUGGAAGACAAGUCCCUGGACAUGAGGACCCAGUGAUGCUCGCAUCAGAGACAGCAUUUAGUGUCAGUGAAGUUGAAGCAUUAUUUGAGCUAUUCAAGAGCAUCAGCAGUUCUGUCAUUGACGAUGGGUUAAUCAGCAAGGUAUUUGAUGAGCAUGAAUAUACAACU